UACAGAGGUCCCAAGCGUUGUUCGGAUUCACUGGGCGUAAAGGGUGCGUAGGUGGUGAGGUAAGUCGGAUGUGAAAUCUCCGAGCUCAACUCGGAAAUGGCAUUGGAAACUACCUUGCUCGAGGGUUGGAGGGGGGACUGGAAUGCUUGGUGUAGCAGUGAAAUGCGUAGAUAUCAAGCGGAACACCAGUGGCGAAGGCGAGUCCCUGGACAACUCCUGACACUGAGGCACAAAAGCUAGGGGAGCAAACAGG
RNAcentral lists this ribosomal RNA (253 nucleotides) under uncultured bacterium. RNAcentral describes it as "partial 16S ribosomal RNA". It matches the Rfam family "Bacterial small subunit ribosomal RNA", at positions 524 to 776 of the family's 1533-position model. The record is from RNAcentral.